GAAUAUUGGACAAUGGGGGAACCCUGAUCCAGCCAUGCCGCGUGUGUGAAGCAGGCCUUUUGGUUGUAAAGCACUUUACGCGAGGAGGAGACUACUCUUGUUAAUACCUAGGGAUAGUGGCCGUUACUCGUCGACUAAGCACCUGCUAACUCUGUGCCAGUAGCCGCGGUAAUACAGAGGGUGCAAGCGUUAAUCGGAUUUACUGGGCGUAAAGCGCGCGUAGGUGGCCAAUUAAGUCAAAUGUGAAAUCCCCGAGCUUAACUUGGGAAUUGCAUUCGAUACUGGUUGGCUAGAGUAUGGGAGAGGAUGGUAGAAUUCCAGGUGUAGCGGUGAAAUGCGUAGAGAUCUGGAGGAAUACCGAUGGCGAAGGCAGCCAUCUGGCCUAAUACUGACACUGAGGUGCGAAAGCAUGGGGAGCAAACA
This 423-nucleotide ribosomal RNA is filed under the name uncultured bacterium. RNAcentral describes it as "partial 16S ribosomal RNA". It matches the Rfam family "Bacterial small subunit ribosomal RNA", at positions 359 to 774 of the family's 1533-position model. The record is from RNAcentral.